CGCAUCUAGUACAUCAUUCUCCGGUGCAAUCAAACGUUAGAAUACAGUAACUUUUGCAUAGCAGGGUUGCAAAGCGAUCUUCACAAUGUGCGAGGUGUCACACAACAACCAUUACCAGGACGACAUUAAGAUUAGUUUGAAACUAACUCGCCACUUUUUAUCCUUAAUCGGUGUUUGGCCAAAUUUUGAUGGAAAAAUGUCUGCUUGUAAGAAAAUUAAAAAGUUCCUGCGAAUUUCUAUCUUACACUCUUUUCUUUAUUUCGCUCUGGUGCCCGGUACUUUUUAUUGGAUAUAUGAAAAGAGAACUCGCGUUCGACUUCGUUUGAUUCCGCUUAUGCUCUACGGUCUCAUGAGUUUAAUCAAAUAUUAUGUUUUGAUAAAUCAUGAAGAUCAAAUCAGACGCUGUGUAAAAUUCCUCGAAGAGGAUUGGAAGAAGGUCGACAACGCGGGCUCAAGGAACAUCAUGUUAAAAUUCGCGAAGAUGGGAAAGCGUUUGACUAUGAUUAGCGCAAUCUUUUUAUACAGCAGUGGACUUGUGUUUCGAACGUUGAUACCCUUGUCCAGAGGGAAAAUCGUAACCCCACAAAACAUUACGAUCAGACCUUUACCCUAUCCAACUUAUUUCUUUUAUUUCGAUGAUCAAUGCAAUCUGAUCUACUAUGGGUUGGUAUAUGCGUUGCAUUGUGUGUCCGGGAUAAUCACUAUGUCGAUCGCGACAAGUAUAUAUGGUCUCAUCAUCGUCUUCGUAAUGCAUGCUUGCGGCCAGCUGAAAAUUUUAGUAAAUUUGCUAAAAGAUCUCGUUGAAAAGGAAACACUAGACGAACUCGAGGUGAAUAAGAAACUAGGUAUUGUUGUAGAACAUCAAGUAAAAAUACGCAGCUUUCUGCAGCUGGUGGAGGGUACUCUUCAUGUUAUGAUUUUUAUGGAGAUAUUAGGGAUGAGAAUAACAAUUUGUGUUAUGAGCUACUGCAUAAUAAUGGAAUGGGAAGAUAGUAAUUCAGUAGCAAUGGGCUCUUAUAUUGUUUCGCUUGCAGCUAUGAUAAUAAAUAUGUUUCUGUUCUGUUAUACGGGCGAACAGCUUAUCACACAGGCGGAGAAAGUAGCAACCACAUCUUAUGGACUCGAGUGGUAUCGUCUUCCCGAUACGAAGGCUCACGGAAUCGUCUUAGUGAUGAUUAUAUCUAAUUUACCAUUAAGAAUCACUGCUGGCACACAAAUCGUCCUGUCAUUCUCAACAUUUAGUGAAAUUCUAAAAACAUCUGCUGCAUAUUUUAAUAUACUUCGAAGUAUAACCAUUUAAAUGCGCUUCUGUAAUCGAGAGUAUAAUGGAAGAAUGAGAAUGUGAAAGACGUUCGGAAAAUGAAGGAUUCUAAAAAUAUCUGCUGCAUAUUUUAAUAUACUUCGAAGUAUAUCAGUCUAACCAGUUAAAUGCGCUUCUGUAAUCGAGAGUAUAAUGGAAUGUGAAAGACGUACGGGAAAUGAAAGGUGGAAAUAUUAUAUUAAUCAAUUAUCUAGUCAUCAAAACGUAUGUAACAUUUGAAAAUUGCCAGCCAAAAUGAACUUCUCACGAAAUAAGCAAAAAAUUCAAUCAGUUUAAAAAUAAUAUCUGUAGCUGAUUGUUAAAUUUAAUACCGGAUUAAUAUUUCUAGAGAAUUCAUAUUUGUAGAGAAUAUUACCAGAGUUACUUGGUAUAUAAUAUUUCAGCUUAAAUCUCUACUAUAUAUGGAAGAAAUUAAAUUACUUGAAAGUUACUUUAGAUGUAUAAGCACUGUUUCAGUCUUUUACUCCUGUUGUAGAACUUCUUCUCUGCUGGAAAGUUAACCCUUGAAUGACAGUUGAAAUUUAAAAUAGGAACAAUAUAAUGUAGUAAUUGAAACAUUACUUAUAAAUCACUUGAUAUUUUUAAAAUUUUUAUUCUUUUCCUUAAUUGUGUA
RNA transcript from Odontomachus brunneus, 1934 nucleotides. It is a transcript of the gene named odorant receptor 13a-like, with no coding region annotated. The transcript is spliced from 6 exons. NCBI's taxonomy places the organism in Eukaryota, Metazoa, Arthropoda, Insecta, Hymenoptera, Formicidae. The record is from RefSeq and is a predicted model, not a curated record.